CAGUAGCCGCGGUAAUACGUAGGGUGCAAGCGUUAAUCGGAAUUACUGGGCGUAAAGCGUGCGCAGGCGGUCCGCUAAGACAGAUGUGGAAUCCCCGGGCUUAACCUGGGAACUGCAUUUGUGACUGGCGGGCUAGAGUAUGGCAGAGGGGGGUAGAAUUCCACGUGUAGCAGUGAAAUGCGUAGAGAUGUGGAGGAAUACCGAUGGCGAAGGCAGCCCCCUGGGCCAAUACUGACGCUCAUGCACGAAAGCGUGGGGAGCAAACAGGAUUAGAUACCCCUGUAGUCCCUGUCUCUUAUAC
RNAcentral lists this ribosomal RNA (301 nucleotides) under uncultured bacterium. Its description in RNAcentral is "partial 16S ribosomal RNA". It matches the Rfam family "Bacterial small subunit ribosomal RNA", at positions 509 to 807 of the family's 1533-position model. The record is from RNAcentral.